GACGAACGCUGGCGGCGUGCUUAACACAUGCAAGUCGAACGGUAAGGCCCUUCGGGGUACACGAGUGGCGAACGGGUGAGUAACACGUGGGUGAUCUGCCCUGCACUUCGGGAUAAGCCUGGGAAACUGGGUCUAAUACCGGAUAGGACUCCUGGCUUCAUGGUUGGGGGUGGAAAGCUUUUGCGGUGUGGGAUGGGCCCGCGGCCUGUCAGCUUGUUGGGGGGGUAAUGGCCGACCAGGGGCGCGCCGGGUAGGCGGCCGGAGAGGGUGACCGGUAACACUGGGACUGAGAUACGGCCCAGACUCCUACGGGAGGCAGCAGUGGGGAAUAUUGCACAAUGGGCGCAAGCCUGAUGCAGCGACGCCGCGUGAGGGAUGACGGCCUUCGGGUUGUAAACCUCUUUCAGCUAUGACGAAGCGCAAGUGACGGUAGUAGCAGAGGAAGGACCGGCCAACUACGUGCCAGCCGCCGCGGUAA
RNAcentral lists this ribosomal RNA (478 nucleotides) under uncultured bacterium. RNAcentral's name for it is "partial 16S ribosomal RNA". It matches the Rfam family "Bacterial small subunit ribosomal RNA", at positions 28 to 523 of the family's 1533-position model. The record is from RNAcentral.